This 1404-nucleotide long non-coding RNA is filed under the name Macaca mulatta (Rhesus monkey). Its description in RNAcentral is "lncRNA (ENSMMUG00000057087.1)". The record is from RNAcentral. Lineage: Eukaryota; Metazoa; Chordata; Mammalia; Primates; Cercopithecidae.
GCACAUUCCCGCCAAACAGGCUUUACCUGUUCAUCAUCCUGCCAGUUUGAGGUGCUGCUUACCUUUUCUUCUAGAUAUUAUCAAUUUUACUAAUUUUCCUCUAAUCAUUGCUUGCUGCUUCAAGUUAUCUAGCGCACUUUCUGCCUGUUCACCUGUCUUCCUGUGAGCGCCCAUGUCCCAGCCGUGAAGUGGCGGGUGACAGGACUUCCUUGGGGUCCAUUUCCUGUGACAGGCCAGUCCUCAAGGGCUGGGGUCUUGGUGGGCCCUCCUCAGGGCCAUGGCCUUGGCUCUCUCUCUCCCAGGCUGAACCUUCGGGAGCUGGGCCCCUGGGCCUCCCACAUACGCUGGCUGGUCUGGAUUAUGGCUUCCGUGGGCACCAUCUAUGUCUUCUUCUUCCAUGAGCGGUACAAGCUUGUGGAGCUUCUCUGCUACAUCGUGAUGGGCUUCUUCCCUGCCCUGGUCAUCCUCUCCAUGGUAAGUGCUGCCAGCCCUGCAUGGAUGGGUCCCUGCAAGGGACCAAGAGUGUCUGGGCUGGACUUGGCUGUUGAGAUUGUCACACUCUCCUAUGGCAGUGGGGAAACUGAGGCCUGGCAUGUCUUGUCUAAAGAGGCAGUAGGCCAGGCACAGUGGCUCAUGCCUAUAAUCCAGUCCUUUGGGAAGCUGAGGUGGGAGGAUAGUUUUGAGUCCAGGGGUUUGAGACCAGCCUGGGCAACACAGCAAGACCCAUCUCUAAAAAAAAAAAAAAUUUGCCAGAGUGGUGCACACCUAUAGUCUCAGCUACUCUGGAGGCUGAGGCAGGAGAAUCUCUUGAACUCAGGUUGCAGAGGUUGCAGUGAGCUGAGAUCGCACCACUGCAUUCCAGCCUGGGCUACAAGAGGUGAAACUCUGUUUCAAAAGAACAAUUUUUUUUUUUUUUGUAGAGCAGGAUCUCCUUAUGUGCCUAGAAUAGUCUUGAAUUCCUGGCCUGGUGAGGGCUUGGCAGUUCUUCUUGCUCAAUCCCUCCUAUCCUAUGAGUGUUUCUUUUUCUGCUGCUUCUUUUUUUUUUUUUUUUUAGAGAUGGAGUCUCACUAUAUUGCCCAGGCUGGUCUCGAUCUCCUGGGCUUAAGCCCACCUUGGCCUUCCAAAGUGCUGGGAUUACAGGCGUAGCUACCGUGCCUGCAGAGAGUUCUUUUAUUAAGAGCAACUCAUGUUAAUAGUACUCACAUCCGGGGGCCAGGACUACUACUUUUUUCCUACCAUGUUUUUUUUCUCUAAAUAUUUUUUGCCAUGAAGCAAAACAAAAAUUAUUUUCUCUACCUCUCUCUCUUUUUUUUUUUUUUUGCCAUGCCAUUACUUUAAAAACUUGUGGUAAAUAUUCAGUUCAGUGGCAGUAAGCACAGUCACAUUGUCAUGCGACCAUCACCA